GUCAGGAUGGCCGAGUGGUCUAAGGCGCCAGACUCAAGGUACAACCUUCCUACCACAGUGGGACUUCUGGUCUCCGAAUGGAGGCGUGGGUUCGAAUCCCACUUCUGACA
This 110-nucleotide transfer RNA is filed under the name Oryzias latipes (Japanese medaka). It matches the Rfam family "tRNA". Rfam says of the family: Transfer RNA (tRNA) molecules are approximately 80 nucleotides in length. Their secondary structure includes four short double-helical elements and three loops (D, anti-codon, and T loops). The record is from Rfam by way of RNAcentral. Lineage: Eukaryota; Metazoa; Chordata; Actinopteri; Beloniformes; Adrianichthyidae. RNAcentral also lists the same sequence under 1 other name.